This 61-nucleotide transfer RNA is filed under the name Celleporella hyalina. Its description in RNAcentral is "tRNA-Gly". The record is from RNAcentral. Lineage: Eukaryota; Metazoa; Bryozoa; Gymnolaemata; Cheilostomatida; Hippothoidae.
AUUUUGUAAGUACUAAGUACUUUAGCCUUUCCAAGCUAAAAGCCUAUUUAUAGACAAAAUA